This 2594-nucleotide long non-coding RNA is filed under the name Nicotiana benthamiana. RNAcentral's name for it is "long non-coding RNA (NBEN_LNC022839)". The record is from RNAcentral. Lineage: Eukaryota; Viridiplantae; Streptophyta; Magnoliopsida; Solanales; Solanaceae.
UCUCUCUCCCCAACUUUCCCCCAAAUUCCAAAAACUAGAAAACUCCAAUGCCUAAUCCAAUUUCUAUAUUGGACAUGUGAAAGACAAAAAAACCCUAAUUUCGUUGAUUCAGUUUUCAUUUCAGCCUCGUAUUACAUAUCUCUCUCUCUCUCUCUCUCUCUCUCUCUCUCUCCUUCCCCCCUUCUGACUGUCUAUAUCCAAUUUUUCCAAUCUCUCUCCGUCUCUCUCUCUCCCCGCGUUUUCUCAUUCUUCUUCUUUCUCACCGCCCACACACCGUUUUCCUCGAUCGAUCCGUCCCUUUUCUUCCGUUACAGGUUCGUUCAUCUUUCCCUUUUCCAUUUCCCAUUCCCUCCCAACCCGCGCCCUUUUUGUCUUCUUAUGAUCGGUCUUUAUUAGAGCUUCUGAUUAAUAUAUUCGUCUGAAUUGUUUCGUUUUUUUUGCAUGCCCGUUUGGUGAAUUAUACGAAUUUGUUUGUCUUUUAAACUUUUUCGUAAUCUUUUGAAUUUUGUAUUCUAGGGCUUGGGAUUUGUUGUUGUAGUUGAGGAAUUGCUAGAUUUGUGGAAUGGAGAAUGGAAUUCGUGUUUUGAUGCUAUGGGAGUGAGGAUGCCUGCAUUUGUGUGUGUAUUGGGUGAUGUUUGAGUUUAUACGUAUAUAGAGGUAUAUGAUUAUGUUUCUUUAGCUGAAGAAUUGGGAAGGGGGUUUGUCUAUGUGCGCAUUAUAGAUUGAUUGAUGAGAAUUAUUGUGUCAAAUUGGAAAUUUGAUCGGUACCUUUGCUGGUGGUGGGAGAUAUCAGUCACCCUGUGAUAUGAUUGAGGUGUACGCAAGCUGGCCCAGACACCAUCUCAUUAAAAAGGACGGGAAAUUUGAUAUAAGAAAUGGAUUGAGCGUUCUGGCAGUCAUUUGAAGAAGACCAAUUUUCACCUCUUUUUUGCUGUGUCAUUCUAUCUGAUAGUAAAUUAUAAGGGAAUGUUGGUUUCCAUAGUUUAGAGUGCUAUCUUGUUUUUGGUCAAUUGAGUGCUUUUUUGUUUUAGCUCGCAUAGAUGCAACCAUGCUAGGGAUUGUAAAUUUGCAACAGGUACUAUAAGUUGCAAGCAGGUUUACUUUUAGUAAUACAUUUGAAAGAUAAAUCAUGGUGACAGGUGAUUUAUUCUUAGCCGUGGUGCAUAGGGAAGUAUAUUUGCUUCUAUAAAAAUAGAAAAAGAAAUGUUUACGGAACUUACUAGAGUAAAUGCAAGAUAACAGACAGCCACUUUGGGGAUGUGGAGACUAUUCAUUUCCUCUUAAGAUCUGAUUCUACGGUUGUAACACAGUUUGGUGUUUUUGAUUAUAAUGUUGAAGUCAGUAUGUAUAUUGCUUCAGUGUGCUUUUCAUUUCUUCGAAGCUCAUGUGCAUAUGGCAGAGGACAAGAAAGGAAUCACGGAUAAUUGCUAAUUACUUAGAAAAGGACAAAAAGAAAAGGAUAAUUGCUAAUAUUGAUUUUGACUAGAGGUAAAGCCAAUCCUGUGCACAUCUUCAGAGUCUUCUGCCAAUGAAAUAUGUAGGCAGUUUGACUUGAUAUAAAGUCAUAUGUUGACGUUUUUAAUAGCUCAAUCUAGAUUGUUAUACACACACAUUUUUUGGAGAGAGAGAGAAUUUUUUGACCUAUUCAUUGAGGAAUUUGUAAAUGCCUGUAAGAAAGUGAGUGUGAGGAUUUACGACAUGCUACGUUUUCUAAUUAUAGAAGUGGCAAGGGCAUGCUUUGGUUUGAUUUUGGUGUACCUGUUAUUGCAAAGGAUAUUCUGGAAAAAAUAAAAGUGAAACAUUAUCAAUCCCUCGUAUGUGCUUGUUUAAUGAAGUGUUAAAUAAUGACAUGGACUUUACAGAUAAAAUAAAUAAGGACUUUGACCAUGCACGAGAUUCACAUUGGUCGUCCCUCAGGUGUAUCCUUUCAGUUUGCUGUUUGUAUUUGUAAACAUGAUUAUAAUUUAAAUUCUGAAAACCAAAAAAAUUUAAAAAAUAAUUGUAAUUUAAUCAAUCGCUCCGCAGUUCUUAGUUUUGAGGGGAAAAUCCACAUUCCUGAAACUUCCUCUGUACAGCGCAUUUAAGUGUCUUUUCUGUUGUUAAGCUAUGCUUCUAAAUCGAGCGAGAAUAGUAUAAAUCAGUGUCUGCAUAUGGCAUAUUUUAAGGUUGAAUUUGUAACAACACGAGGAUGGUGCUUGAGUAUUAAAUAUGUGAGCUCUUAAUACUAGUCUACCAUUCUAAAGCACUUUAUCUAGUUUUUGAUCCAUUUACGACAUUGUUGGGGCUCAUGUUAUAAGUUGUGACUGAUCUUGCCAACUGGGGGGUGCUAGUUAAGGGAUUUGGACAAGCCUGUAUUAGCAUAUAAUAAGGCUAUUCCUUUGAGUAAGUUUGGUAGCUCCUUUUUCUGAGAGACCAAAGUGGGCAUUAUAAUUUUCCACUAGAAGAUGGUGAAGUAGUUUAUUUGUUCUAACUUCUACCAGCUAGUUAUGAUAGUUACUGCACGAUUUUAUUGCCUGCGAUUGUAUGUAUGCUUCUUAUUUUUAGUUAAUUAUUUUCACUAUUUUCUGCGGGAGUCACUAAUGCUUUUUGUUUUU